Molecule: long non-coding RNA, 699 nt
Organism: Sarcophilus harrisii (Tasmanian devil)
Lineage: Eukaryota; Metazoa; Chordata; Mammalia; Dasyuromorphia; Dasyuridae
Exons: 3
Source: RefSeq, a predicted model, not a curated record
CUGCCAUCUUUCCAGAAUCCUUCUCCAUAGAAUUAUAUAGAGAAAAAUAUUGCUGUUUACUACAAGAAAAGCAACCUGGGCAGUUUUUUAAUCUAUCAGUAACCCCCAUCAUCCUCAUCAUUACCAUGGCUUGCAUCUAUCUGCUUCCUGUAUCUUCUAACCUAGGAGAAGAUCGCAGGGGCAUCAAGCCUUUAACUCCAGUGAUGUGGAAGGGAUAACUGCAGCAAGGAUCAAAUGUGAUUAGCCUUGGAAUAAGACUGGUUGCAGUUGAGGAACGACGUGUGAAAAUGACCUUUCCCUGGUGUCCCCCUACUUGAGAAGGGCUACCUGCCAAAACCAGGAGACUGGACCAGUACUUCAGGUGCCCCAGAACUUAAAAUACUGCAUACAAAUGUUUGUUUCCUGAAGUAAGAACUUCAGGAAUUAAAGUACUGUAACUAAAACAAUAAUAGUAAUGAUAAGAGUCAAAAAUUUUAAGGGAUCUCUAUUAUUACUGGUGUUAGUAUUCCCUUUAACAAAGCAGAUCAGAAUUCAUACAUGGCUGCACCCCUUGUGUUACUCUUGUCCAUGUUCUCCAUUAAACUUACAAUAUUUGGUCCACGAUGCAAUGUGAACCUUCCUUACUUUGGCUUGAUUUGGGAAGGUAUGAAUCAAUAACUAAUAAAUAUAAACUAAUAAAAUAAUAAGCAUUUAAGUGCU